AGCAGCCGCGGUAAUUCCAGCUCCAAUAGCGUAUAUUAAAGUUGUUGCAGUUAAAAAGCUCGUAGUUGAAUUUUGGAUUCUUCCAAUUGGUCCAUCUUUUAGAUGAGUACUGGUUGUGUGGGGUCUAUCCGCCUGGUGAUACGUAAUGUCCUUUAUUGGAUGUUGCGGGUAGUCAGGACCUUUACCUUGAAAAAAUUAGAGUGUUUAAAGCAGGCUUAUGCCGGAAUACAUUAGCAUGGAAUAAUAGAAUAGGACGAAGUUGUUUUAUUUUGUUGGUUUCUAGGACAACCGUAAUGAUUAAUAGGGAUAGUUGGGGGCGAUUAGUAUUCAAUUGUCAGAGGUGAAAUUCUUGGAUUUAUUGAAGACUAACUACUGCGAAAGCAUUUGCCAAGGAUGUUUUCAUUAAUCAAGAACGAAAGUUAGGGGAUCGAAGACGAUCAGAUACCGUCGUAGUCUUAACCAUAAACUAUGCCGACUAGGGAUCGGGCGAUGUUGUUUCCAUGACUCGCUCGGCACCUUA
Molecule: unclassified non-coding RNA, 520 nt
Filed under: uncultured Glomus
Lineage: Eukaryota; Fungi; Glomeromycota; Glomeromycetes; Glomerales; Glomeraceae
Also listed under: 1 other name
Description: SSU rRNA
Rfam family: Eukaryotic small subunit ribosomal RNA
Source: RNAcentral